Molecule: ribosomal RNA, 455 nt
Filed under: Klebsiella pneumoniae
Lineage: Bacteria; Pseudomonadati; Pseudomonadota; Gammaproteobacteria; Enterobacterales; Enterobacteriaceae
Description: partial 23S ribosomal RNA
Rfam family: Bacterial large subunit ribosomal RNA
Source: RNAcentral
GGGUUGUGAGGUUAAGCGACUAAGCGUACACGGUGGAUGCCCUGGCAGUCAGAGGCGAUGAAGGACGUGCUAAUCUGCGAAAAGCGUCGGUAAGGUGAUAUGAACCGUUAUAACCGGCGAUGUCCGAAUGGGGAAACCCAGUGCAAUUCGUUGCACUAUCGUUAACUGAAUACAUAGGUUAACGAGGCGAACCGGGGGAACUGAAACAUCUAAGUACCCCGAGGAAAAGAAAUCAACCGAGAUUCCCCCAGUAGCGGCGAGCGAACGGGGAGCAGCCCAGAGUCUGAAUCAGCUUGUGUGUUAGUGGAACGGUCUGGAAAGUCCGACGGUACAGGGUGAUAGUCCCGUACACCAAAAUGCACAGGCUGUGAACUCGAAGAGUAGGGCGGGACACGUGGUAUCCUGUCUGAAUAUGGGGGGACCAUCCUCCAAGGCUAAAUACUCCUGACUGACCG